UUUUGAUAGGAACGUUCUAUAAGUUUGAUAUACGACGGCAGAUAAGCUGACAUAAACCAAGGAACAAAAAAGAUAAUUUGAUUAUGCAGAACACACAUUUCAUAAAAUUCUUCAGAAAUAUUUCGUAAUUCAUCUUGAGUAUAGGUUUCAAAAAACCAAGUCCUAAAAUUGGUCCAUUUUUCAGUAAAAAAUUCUUUUUGAAUAUAGUUUCUUGC
This 215-nucleotide long non-coding RNA is filed under the name Capsicum annuum. Its description in RNAcentral is "long non-coding RNA (CANN_LNC019443)". The record is from RNAcentral. Lineage: Eukaryota; Viridiplantae; Streptophyta; Magnoliopsida; Solanales; Solanaceae.